RNAcentral lists this ribosomal RNA (497 nucleotides) under uncultured bacterium. Its description in RNAcentral is "partial 16S ribosomal RNA". It matches the Rfam family "Bacterial small subunit ribosomal RNA", at positions 28 to 507 of the family's 1533-position model. The record is from RNAcentral.
GAUGAACGCUGGCGGCGUGCCUAAUACAUGCAAGUCGAGCGAACAGACGAUGAGCUUGCUCCUUUGACGUUAGCGGCGGACGGGUGAGUAACACGUGUAUAAUCUACCUAUAUUACUGGGAUAACUUCGGGAAACCGGAUCUAAUACCGUAUAACAUGUUGAACCGCAGGGUUCAACAGUGAAAGACGGUCUUGCUGUCACUUAUAGAGGGAUCCCGGCCGCAUUAGCUAGUUGGUAAGGUAACGGCUUACCAAGGCAACGAGGCGUAGCCGACCGGAGAGGGUGAUCGGCCACACUGGAACUGGGCCACGGUCCAGGCUCCUACGGGAGGCAGCAGUAGGGAAUGGUCGGCAGUGGGCGAAAGCCUGACGGAGCAAGGCCGCGUGAGUGAAGAAGGUCUUCGGAUCGUAAAGCUCUGUUAUUAGGGAAGAACAGAUGUGUAAGUAAACAUGGCCGUCUUGACGGUACCUAAUAAGAAAGCAACGGCUAACUACGUG